ACAGUCACGUCGUUUGUGGCUGAAAAGCUCACCGUUGUGAGUUGUCUAAGACUAAAGGAACAAAUCGAUG
Molecule: non-coding RNA, 70 nt
Organism: Erwinia tasmaniensis
Lineage: Bacteria; Pseudomonadati; Pseudomonadota; Gammaproteobacteria; Enterobacterales; Erwiniaceae
Source: Rfam